RNAcentral lists this long non-coding RNA (545 nucleotides) under Homo sapiens (human). RNAcentral's name for it is "HSALNT0012748". Lineage: Eukaryota; Metazoa; Chordata; Mammalia; Primates; Hominidae. The record is from RNAcentral.
CAGAGUUUCACCAUGUUGGCCUGGCUGGUCUCGAACUCCUUCUAACCAUCUAUCAAACCACCUCAGUCCCACUCCAGACCACAGAACAACUGAAUCAGAAGCUCUACAGUGGGACAAUGAUCUGUGGUUUAACAAACCCUCCAGACACAGCCAUGUGGAGCAGAAGUCAUGAAACCAAAAGAACGCAGAAACUUUUCUAAGACAUCUUGUGGAAUGAGGAUGGGGAGCUCUCAACAUAUCACCUCUGGUUUUUGUUAUUCAAGAAAUGUGAACUACACUUCUUGCAGCAUGUGGUUGGAUCUCCAGUAUGACAGGCUAAAGAGAAAAAAGAUAUGUGUAACUGGUUUGUAAACUAUACAGAAUUAUAUAAAUGUAAAGCGCUAUUAUAACUUUUUUCUUUUUAUACUAGUUAUGAUGUAGUUAGAAGCCUGAUCUGAUUCUAGAAUAAUCUGAAAGAUGCACAUCGAAUGAAGGGUCUUAGCAGCAUUUCUAAUAUAUUAGAGUUCUUAGGAGCUGUGGACUCUGUUGAAAGUUGAAUAUUUAAG